AUUUACUUGUCGUCUUCCCCACCCAGUUGGUUGUUUGUUCUUCCAUAUCAGAUCCCUGUCUUCACAGAGACUGCUCCUAAAGUCUUUAUUCCAGUCAAACUCAUUUGAAAUAGAGACUUCAGGAUGGGCACUAUGUACAGAGUCCCACUAUAACUGGAGAGGGGCUUUCUGUUGACAAAGAUGUGGUGAAGGACUUGCUGAGCAGUAUGAAACUCCCAUCUCUGAGUAUCUGCGGUUAACUUCUAAGGAGACAAAGGGAGAUGGGUCCUGGCCACACUGGAAAAGAGAAAUUGAUCAUUAAUACCUUGGGACAUUAAGAUUGAAGGUCAAAAUCAAGUCAUUACAAAUCUAACCUUUUAAACUUGAGUGCCGGUUAGUAUGGUUUUCAAUUCCUGAUAGUCAAGGAGAUUUUCUGAUCAGCCAUUCAUACAUUGUUCAGGGAGCCCACACUUCAUAUGGGAUGAUCAAGCACAUCCGGUUUUUAAA
This is a long non-coding RNA of Mauremys mutica (yellowpond turtle), 486 nucleotides long. RefSeq lists it as uncharacterized. Lineage: Eukaryota; Metazoa; Chordata; Testudines; Geoemydidae. The record is from RefSeq and is a predicted model, not a curated record. The transcript has 4 exons.